GUUUGGGAGGAGUUUACGAACUCCGAGUGGUGAAGGAUAGUGCCAAGAAAAGCUGGCUAUGUGAUGAAGAUAGAACACCCGUACCCGAAACCGACACAGGUAGGGAGGUUGAGAAUACCAAGGGGCGCGAGAUAACUCUCUCUAAGGAACUCGGCAAAAUGGCCCCGUAACUUCGGGAGAAGGGGUGCCCACCUCAGACGUGGGUCGCAGUGAAGAGAUCCAGGCGACUGUUUACCAAAAACACAGGUCUCCGCCAACUCGCAAGAGGACGUAUGGGGGCUGACGCCUGCCCAGUGCCGGAAGGUUAAGGAAGCUGGUCAGCGAAAGUAAAGCUGGCGACUGAAGCCCUGGUGAACGGCGGCCGUAACUAUAACGGUCCUAAGGUAGCGAAAUUCCUUGUCGGGUAAGUUCCGACCCGCACGAAAGGCGUAACGAUCUGGAUGGUGUCUCAGAGAGAGACUCGGCGAAAUAGGAAUGUCUGUGAAGAUACGGACUGCCUGCACCUGGACAGAAAGACCCUAUGAAGCUUUACUGUAGCCUGGAAUUGUGUUCGGGCUUCGCUUGCGCAGGAUAGGUGGGAAGCGGUGAACUAUUCCUUUUGGGGAAUAGGGAGCUAACGGUGAGAUACCACUCUGGCGAAGCUAGAAUUCUAACCCACGACCGUCAGCCGGUUGGGGAACAGUUUCAGGUGGGCAGUUUGACUGGGGCGGUCGCCUCCUAAAAAGUAACGGAGGCGCGCAAAGGUUCCCUCAGCACGCUUGGAAACCGUGCGACGAGUGUAAAAGCAAAAGGGAGCUUGACUGCAAGACUGACAAGUCGAGCAGGUACGAAAGUAGGCUUUAGUGAUCCGACGGCGCAGAGUGGAAUGGCCGUCGCUCAACGGAUAAAAGUUACUCUAGGGAUGACAGGCUGAUCUCCCCCAAGAGUCCACAUCGACGGGGAGGUUUGGCACCUCGAUGUCGGCUCAUCGCAACCUGGGGCGGAAGUACGUCCCAAGGGUUGGGCUGUUCGCCCAUUAAAGCGGUACGUGAGCUGGGUUCAGAACGUCGUGAGACAGUUCGGUCCAUAUCCGGUGCAGGCGCAAGAGUAUUGAGAGGAGUCCUCCUUAGUACGAGAGGACCGGGAGGAACGCACCGCUGGUGUACCAGUUAUUGUACCAACAGUAAACGCUGGGUAGCCAAGUGCGGAGAGGAUAACCGCUGAAAGCAUCUAAGUGGGAAGCCCACCUCAAGAUGAGUACUCUCACUACAAAAAGUAGGUAAGGUCACGGGCAGAACACCCGUUGAUAGGCUCUAAGUGGAAGUGCAGUAAUGUAUGAAGCUGAGGGGUACUAAUAGACCGAGGGCUUGAC
This 1351-nucleotide ribosomal RNA is filed under the name metagenome. Its description in RNAcentral is "bacterial LSU rRNA". It matches the Rfam family "Bacterial large subunit ribosomal RNA", at positions 1564 to 2925 of the family's 2925-position model. The record is from RNAcentral.